Molecule: non-coding RNA, 123 nt
Organism: Picea glauca (white spruce)
Lineage: Eukaryota; Viridiplantae; Streptophyta; Pinopsida; Pinales; Pinaceae
Source: Rfam
GUACGUGCCUACAACAUAGAUUUAAUGCAUCAGAUCCCAUUAGAACUCCAUAGUUAAGCACGCUCGGUCUAGAGUAGUACUGGGAUGGGUGACCACUCAAGAAGUACUAGUAUUUUACAUGCC